GCAGUAGCCGCGGGAAUACGUAGGUCCCGAGCGUUGUCCGGAUUUAUUGGGCGUAAAGCGAGCGCAGGCGGUUAGAUAAGUCUGAAGUUAAAGGCUGUGGCUUAACCAUAGUACGCUUUGGAAACUGUUUAACUUGAGUGCAAGAGGGGAGAGUGGAAUUCCAUGUGUAGCGGUGAAAUGCGUAGAUAUAUGGAGGAACGCCGGUGGCGAAAGCGGCCCUCUGGCUUGUAACUGACGCUGAGGCUCGAAAGCGUGGGGAGCAAACAGGAUUAGAGACCCCAGUAGUCCCUGUCUCUUAUACC
Molecule: ribosomal RNA, 302 nt
Filed under: uncultured bacterium
Lineage: Bacteria
Description: partial 16S ribosomal RNA
Rfam family: Bacterial small subunit ribosomal RNA
Source: RNAcentral